This 72-nucleotide transfer RNA is filed under the name Culex quinquefasciatus (southern house mosquito). It matches the Rfam family "tRNA". From Rfam's summary of the family: Transfer RNA (tRNA) molecules are approximately 80 nucleotides in length. Lineage: Eukaryota; Metazoa; Arthropoda; Insecta; Diptera; Culicidae. The record is from Rfam by way of RNAcentral.
GGGACCGUGGUGUAGGGUUAAGCGUAGUUGCCUCUCACCCAGUCGGCUUGGGUUCAAUUCCAGACGGUCCCG